This is a long non-coding RNA of Sardina pilchardus (European sardine), 497 nucleotides long. RefSeq lists it as uncharacterized. The transcript has 2 exons. The record is from RefSeq and is a predicted model, not a curated record. Lineage: Eukaryota; Metazoa; Chordata; Actinopteri; Clupeiformes; Clupeidae.
CUCUGCUGCGAGAAGGUGUGUGCGAGCACACCAGAGCCUUCCACCAGCUGGGUGCCCUGCCUGUCCGGACCACGGCAGGGGUGAUGUUGCCUGCCUCUCCGGACUGCUACAGUUGGUCAGGCUGCUGUCUUGUCUUCCUUUAGUUUUGUUUACUGUUUGAUUUAUUAUUGUCCCAGUUACUUUUGGUUUGGUUGUCUUUGUCCGUUGUCUUUCUUUUGUAAGCAGGCAGAGUGUUAAUGGGGGGGGGGCCCUAGUCACCUGCUGGGGAACCAGAGUAAUUGCAUGUGUGUGUGCUGAGAGUUGCUUGCUGUGGAGAGCUGCAUUACUGUGUGAGACACUUUCUUAAACUUGCUGUGUUUUGGUGCAAACGUAUCGCCCUUGAUAUUAGCCUGCCCCCUCAGGCAAGCUCUGCCUGCCUCCGCUAUUUGUUGCCCUUCCCUCCUUUGUUAGAGUGUCUGUGUUGUCUUUUGGUGUUAAAUAAAAUCCUUUAUUUAUGG